Long non-coding RNA from Bufo bufo (common toad), 128 nucleotides. RefSeq lists it as uncharacterized. The transcript is spliced from 3 exons. Lineage: Eukaryota; Metazoa; Chordata; Amphibia; Anura; Bufonidae. The record is from RefSeq and is a predicted model, not a curated record.
CCCAUGUGUACAACUAUCAGUGACUGACAGCUAUCUAUGUAUACACACUUACACAGAGAAUGCUAUCAAUUACUGAUAAUACCUCCCCCGUGAACAGCUGAAGUCAGAAAGAGCUAUGAAACUAUAUA